Molecule: RNA transcript, 1396 nt
Organism: Mangifera indica (mango)
Lineage: Eukaryota; Viridiplantae; Streptophyta; Magnoliopsida; Sapindales; Anacardiaceae
Gene name: DCN1-like protein 4
Exons: 11
Source: RefSeq, a predicted model, not a curated record
ACCUAAUUUUAUUACUACAUCGAAUUCAAAAGCAAACUUAACUAAUAAAUUAAAUAAAAUAAUAAUAAAAAGGAUUUCCAUACAGAAAUUGGCGCUCCAGCAGCAUCAUCAUACUUUUACCGUGCGACGAAGCUUCUUCUUCGUUCGCUCACUUCCGAGAUGCGUCGUUCUGCAUCGAGGAAAACGGGUCAAAGUAAUUCUACGGACUCCGCUGAUCCCUUUCUCUCUGCUUCUGGUAAAGCAUCUUCCAAAGAGAUGGAACGAAUUGACAACCUGUUUUACACAUAUGCAAAUAGAUCUUCUGGUGUGAUUGACCCAGAAGGAAUUGAAGCUCUUUGUUCAGAUUUGGAAGUCAAUCAUACUGAUGUUAGGGUCUUGAUGCUGGCUUGGAAAAUGAAAGCUGAAAAGCAAGGGUACUUUACUCUGGAGGAGUGGCGAAGGGGACUCAAAUCACUGAGGGCUGACAAUGUAAAUAAAUUAAAGAAGUCCCUCCCAGAGCUGGAGAAAGAGGUUAAAAGGCCAUCAAACUUUAUGGAUUUCUAUGCCUAUUCAUUCCGAUAUUGUUUGACAGAAGAGAAACAGAAGAGUGUGGACAUAGAGAGUGUCUGUGAACUGCUAGAUCUUGUUUUAGGAUCCCAAUGUCGUGCCCAGGUUGACUAUUUCAUUGAGUAUCUAAAGGUUCAAACUGAUUACAAGGUCAUAAACAUGGAUCAGUGGAUGGGCUUCUUCAGGUUCUGCAAUGAGUAACACAGAUGAUUAUCGAACUUGGGCUGAUCUUCCUGUAAGUUGGCUAUGCAAUUGCUCAGUCGCAUUCUUAUUGUCAAUGCAUAUAUAUUUCCAAGUGAUUUGAACCAUAAAUCAGUGGGUCGCAUUGAUUUGUUUUCUUCCUUGCUGUCGUGUCUUGAUGUUGCAGGCAAGGUAAAAGAAUAUACUCUGUCCUGACACUAUAACUUGGUCUAUACUAUACUGUAUUUUAUUUUGUAUUGUACUUGCUGCUGUAUGGUCAUAUUUUAAUUUUAAAAUUCAAAUAUUGUGUUGUGUUGCUUUCAGUCAAAGCUUUUGAUGUUAAACAUUUGUAUUUUAUGGUAUGUUUUUUUAUAGAUGCCUUGUCAUGUAUGAUUGUGUUUAGAUGGAUUAUUCAACGGUUCACUAGAUGAUGAUUUGAUGAAAAUUCAAAGGUAGAAAUUGAUUGGAUGUGUAGUGAUUUAGAGAUGGUAAUGUGAUUGAGAUGGAAGGUGAAUUCAGGAGCAACAAUUGGUAGCUUCUUGGUGGUGUUUGUUUGGCUUUUAGUCUUUGGGCAUACCACAUUUGAGUAUACAUGAUGCUUUUUAUGUAAUUGGAUAUUGCAUUACUCUUAAUUGGCCAAAAGACUUGAUCCUACCCAAUGUUUAAUCCA